CUUUGAAAUUAUUGUUCAUAAUAUAUAUGAAUGUACAUUUGUAUUAAUAAAACCUAUACUAUUUUUUAACAGUUAAGAACUUACAUAAUUAUGUACAUUAUUUGCAAAAUCAAAAAAAGUUUAUAGUAGAUGUAUAUUCAGGUAAUUAAUAAAUAAAAAAGUAAAUCCAAAAAUGAUAAUUGAAAAAAACUAGAGGCUCUCAAGAGCCUGUGUCGCUCACCUUGGUCUAUGUGCAUAUUAAACAAUGGACACAGAUAAAUUCAUGACAUAAUUGUGUUUUGGUGAUCAUGUUGUGUUUGUAGAUCUUACUUUACUGAACAUUCUUGUUGCUACAAUUAUCUCUAUCAAUAAUGAACUUGGCCCAGUAAUUACAGUGGAAAAUAUUUUCUAAAAAUUUACAAAAAUUUAUGAAAAUGCUAAAAAUUAACUAUAAAGGGCAAUAACUCCUUAAGGGGUCAAUUGACUAUUUUGGUCAUGAAAAACUUAUUUGUAGAUCUUGUUUUGCUGAACAUUAUUGCUGUUUACAGUUUAUCUCUAUCUAUAAUAAUAUUCAAGAUAAUAACAAAAAAACGGCAAAAUUUCCUUAAAAUUACCAAUUCAGGGCAGUAACCUAACAACGGGUUGUCCGAUCUCCAGUGAAAAUAUCAGGGCAGAUAGAUAGACCUGAUACACAAUUUAACCCUGUCAGAUUUUCAAAAAUGCUUCGGUUUUUGAGUUAUAAGCCAAAAACUGCAUUUUACCCCUAUGUUCUAUUUUUAGCCGUGGCAGCCAUUUUGGUUGGAUGGCCGGGUCACCGGACACAUUUUUUAAAAUUAGAUACCCCAAAGAUGAUUGUGGCCAAGUUUGGAUUAAUUUGGCCCAGUAGUUUCAGAGGAGAAGAUUUUUGUAAAAGAUUUCUAAGAUUUACAAAAAAUGGUUAAAAAUUGACUAUAAAGGUCAAUAACUCCUAAAGGGGUCAACUGACCAUUUUGGUCAUGUUGACUUAUUUGUAAAUCUAACUUUGCUGAACAUUAUUGCUGUUUACAGUUUAUCUCUAUCUAUAAUAAUAUUCAAGAUAAUAACCAAAAACAGCAAAAAUUCCCUAAAAUUACCAAUUCAGGGGCAGCAACCCAACAACGGGUUGUCGGAUUCAUCUGAAAAUUUGAGGGCAGAAAGAAAUUGACCUGAUAAACAAUUUUACCCCUGUCAGAUUUGCUCUAAAUGCUUUGGUUUUUGAGUUAUAAGCCAAAAAACUGCAUUUUACCCCUAUGUUCUAUUUUUAGCCAUGGCGGCCAUCUUGGUUGGUUGGCCGAGUCACGCCACACAUUUUUUAAACUAUAUACCCCAAUGACGAUUGUGGCCAAGUUUGGUUUAAUUUGGCCUAGUUGUUUCAGAGGAGAAGAUUUUUGUAAAAGAUUACUAAGAUUUACUAAAAAAUGGUUAAAAUUUGACUAUAAAGGGCAAUAACUCCUAAAGGGGUCAACUGACCAUUUCCUUCCUGUUGACGUAUUUGUAAAUCUUACUUUGCUGAACAUUAUUGCUGUUUACAGUUUAUCUCUAUCUAUAAUAAUAUUCUAGAUGCUCCGCAGGGCGCAGCUUUAUACGACGCAGAGGUUGAACCCUGAACGGUUGGGGCAAGUAUGGACACAACAUUCAAGCUGGAUUCAGCUCUAAAUUUGGAUUGUGAUUGAAUAGUUGAAUGAACUAAAGAAUGAUUUUUUUUUUUGCCUUUGAGCAAUUCACUAUGCUGUUGAAUAUUAAUCCUCUCAAAAAAAUGUUUUCUUUUUAUUUAUGAAAUCUGAAUUGAGAAAAAUUUUACCCCCCCCCCAUUUUUUUUUCACAUCCCCCUUUCCCUUUUCCAAAACUGAUCUCAAUUCAAAUUUCUAAUGGAGUUUGCAACAAUAACUACUCAUUUAAAUACAUCA
RNAcentral lists this long non-coding RNA (1904 nucleotides) under Mytilus galloprovincialis (Mediterranean mussel). Lineage: Eukaryota; Metazoa; Mollusca; Bivalvia; Mytilida; Mytilidae. The record is from RNAcentral.